CACGAUCGGUGUGGUGGACUUGGAUUUGGGCGUUGCCAGGAAACCGGCUCGCCUUAAAGACGUUAGUGGGAAGGGUUCCCUCUUGGCCUGACGUAAUAAGUUUCGUCUGACCUCGGGAUCUCACGCCGGCUUCCAACCCGCCCUCGGGCAUUACUUUUGUCAUGGACCUCAAAUCAGGUAGGACUACCCGCUGAACUUAA
This 200-nucleotide unclassified non-coding RNA is filed under the name soil metagenome. RNAcentral's name for it is "partial contains internal transcribed spacer 2 and large subunit ribosomal RNA". The record is from RNAcentral.